UAUUGAGAUAGGUCGGAUUUGAUAUUAGCUGAAAGUAGAGAGUGGCUAAUUUCUAAGGGUAUGUAUCAGGAUUAACCAAAUUUAAUAUAUUUUUCACUCUAGUUAUAUGUGCUAAAGUGAAUAUCUGAUUUAGCCCUAAGGUAUUAUGCUAGGGUUCGUCGGAUUUGAUUUGUAUGAGCUCUAAGUAUAUGUAUUAGAGCUCGAUCGAGUAUGGAUUUCACUCUAGAUAAAUGUGCCAGAGCAAAAGGCUAACUAGACCCUAAGUGUAUGUGUUAGGACUAGUCGAGCUUGAUUUGACUUCCACUCUAGAUAUAUGUGCUAGAGCAAAAGGUUGACAAUACCAUUGGCUUCGUCUGGUUCGGGGUUAAGUAAAAACUAGUUAUUCCAGGUAUAGGGUUAAAUUAAGGGUUAAGGUGUGGUUAGAGUAAUUUUGUAUUUGGUUGAGAAUUGGGCUUAGUCCAGGUAUAAGUAAAAUAGUGUUUGAUUGAAGUAGGUGGGAUAAGAAGGAUAUUGGGUUAUUAUAAAUAAAAAAUAAUGAUUUGUCCCAAUUUUUAUAUUUGAAUUUAAAUUUAAAAUUUAGAUAAUUAAAAAUAAUAAUUUAAAUUUUAAAAUUUAAAAUUUAAAAUUAAAAUCUAUAUUUUUAAAUCUUAAAAUAAAAAAUUUAAAGUUACAAAUAUAAAAUAUCAAAUUUAAAAUUUAAAUAAUUAAAAAUAAUAAUUUUAAAUUUUAAAUUUUAAAUUUUUAAAAAUAAAUAUUAAUUUUAAAAUUUAAAUAUAUAAUUUUUAAAAAAUUUUAAAUUUUAAAAUUAAAAUUUAUAUUUAUAUUAAUUAAAUAGGGGUGGGAU
RNAcentral lists this long non-coding RNA (844 nucleotides) under Ananas comosus (pineapple). RNAcentral describes it as "long non-coding RNA (ACOM_LNC024571)". The record is from RNAcentral. Lineage: Eukaryota; Viridiplantae; Streptophyta; Magnoliopsida; Poales; Bromeliaceae.